RNAcentral lists this long non-coding RNA (2177 nucleotides) under Lynx pardinus (Iberian lynx). The record is from RNAcentral. Lineage: Eukaryota; Metazoa; Chordata; Mammalia; Carnivora; Felidae.
CUCAGAGAAGGGCCGUUUACUUUCAGUAGGCUCCCCAGGGCAGGAGCAAUUCUCUUCCCAACAGCUGGGAUGGCUUGGUAAGCAAGAUCUGAUUCAGGUUCCCAAGGUCUCUCAUUCCUCUUCCCAAAUCCCUGAACCCUUUUAAUCUGAACUGUGGUUCAUCAAAUGUGUACCAGCAAAAAAGUAUUUCCUAGGAACUUGUUACAAAUGCAUAUUAUCAGGCGGGGCCCCCAAAUCGUUGUUUUGACAAGCCUUCUGAUCUCCUGAUUUGCGCAAAAGCUUGAAACCCAUUGCUCUCCUUCUGGUCUCAGAGACAGAGAGACAGAAAGAGAAGGUAGGGAGGGGCAGAGAAUGCUCAGGAAAUUGUGCUGGAAAGUGAAUCCAAAUAGCUUUUUAUAUUGGGUUUUUACGUGGUAAUUUACAAAUGAUUGUAAACAACCACAAAUUGAAACACACAGUUACUUUAAGGUCUCUUUAGCAGAAAUCAAUCUUGUAUGGUGGCAGUUCUCCUAUACUUUGGUCUAUUACUUGAUAGGUCAUUUCCUCACAGGGAUGACUAACAGCAGUUCAAACGAAAAUGCUCUUUAUAUUUAAACAGCACUUUCUGUUCAAGGAUGUCAAAAUGCUUGACAAGUAGUGAAAUGCAGCUCACUAAUUUUCUCAACCCCAUGGCAGUAAAUAGCAUCUACCAUCAUUGCUGUUUUCUGGUGAUUUCUUGACAGGAAAAGCAAAAGUGACUUGGCUAUGUAUGUCUGUUGAAAGUCAACGGCUGAAGGAGAAAAUAUCAUUCAUUUUUGUUCCCAUAGGGCUAUAGUUGAUGUAGUACUUACUGACUUCUAUUAUUACAUCCCAAGGAUAGAUAACUAUGCUCAUCAAGGGGAAAGCCCAAAGAACAUUCUUGUGCUUUCUUUGUUAAACCUGGUUUUUAAAAAAUCAUCUGGCCUAAUCUACAUUUAAUUAUGAUACAAAUGCUACUUAAAUCCCUGUUACUUUUGUUUGCUUACAGUUGAUGCCGCUUGGGGGCACCUGGGUGGCUCAGUGGGUUGAGUGUCUGACUUCGGCUCAGGUCAUGAUCUCGCCUUUGGCGAGUUCCAGCCCUGUGUGGGGCUCUGUGCUGACAGCUCAGAGCCUGGAGCCUGCUUCAGAUUCUGUGUCUCCCUCUCUCUCUGCCCCUCCGCCACUCAUGCGGUCUCUCUCUGUCUCAAAAAUAAAUAUAAACGCUAAAAAAAUUUUUUAAAAAAGACACAAUUGAUGCCUCUUGAAAAAUAAGAAGCAAAGGCUCAUUACAUUGGAGAAUCCUUGAGAGCCACGUUUUAGUCAUCUUUGACUCCUUUGUGACCAUUGCCAUAUCUGGAAUAGUAUGUAUGUUCAGUAUUUUUGAAUGUAUGGUAUAUAAAUAAACCAAAGUACUUUCAAAGUUAGAGGCCACGUGUCAGAGAGCAGGAGAAAAGGUAGUUAAAAACCUACUAAACUAUCAAAACCUAGUGCUGGGUGAGCGCUGAUAAAAACUUGACCAUGUCCUCUGUCAUUGCAUAUGAUGCUGUGACACUAACAUGUACUCACCAAUCAAAAAAGGUUUCAGAACUCAAAUUUGGGUGUUUUCAAGAUGAGGAUUCCUCUCCUCUACCAUUUCUUAUAAUAAAACUUGGAACCCUAGAAUCAACAGGCAAUAUACUGGUUUAUAACUUAAAAUUGGAACGUUUUCAUCCAAUUUUAGAGGCAUGAGAUAAAACUGAUGCACAAAUAUUAGAAUUUUCAUUAAUGAAAAAAACUAAUUUCCAAAAUUCUUAAGGUUGGUUUCUCAAAAUAUUAAAAUGACCACAUGUCAUGAGCCAAGGGCACCCUAUUUUUAAAAAAUAAGAAACUGCAGGGGCACCUGCCUGGCUCUGAAGGUAGAGAGGGUGACUCUUGAUCUCUGGGUUGUGGGUUUGGGCCCCACAUUGGGUGUGGAGAUUGCUUAAAAAUAAAAUCUUGAAAAGAAAAAGAAGAAAAGAAAGGACUACAAAGUUGUAUAAUUACUGUUAAUUAUUUGUUGACUUUGUAUGAAAAAAAGCUCAUUUUAAAUAAAAGGAAGUCCAACUAGAGUGACAUACAUUAAUCUUAAAAGUUCCUGUAUUAGAUUUUUUUCUAUCCCCAAAAUGCCAACCAUGCAUAUUAAGCUGAAAUUUGUUUUUUGC